GCCGAGGUAGCUCAGUCGGUAGAGCAGGGGACUGAAAAUCCCCGUGUCGGCGGUUCAAAUCCGUCCCUCGGCACCA
RNAcentral lists this transfer RNA (76 nucleotides) under Candidatus Glassiibacteriota bacterium. RNAcentral describes it as "Candidatus Glassbacteria bacterium tRNA-Phe". It matches the Rfam family "tRNA". From Rfam's summary of the family: Transfer RNA (tRNA) molecules are approximately 80 nucleotides in length. The record is from RNAcentral. Lineage: Bacteria; Candidatus Glassiibacteriota. RNAcentral also lists the same sequence under 1 other name.